AUGAGCCUAAGGCCACCUUCCACGUGCUCAAAGCCAGGACCCACUUGGGAUCCUGUGUGUCGUGAAGUUCUUGCAAAGUACUGCCACCAUGACGCUGUCCCCACUGGGCUGGUUCUAGGCAUGUGGAAUGUAAGUUAUGGCAUCAUAGCAAUUUCCAUGGCAAUUUCAAAGGAGAUCCUGUGAGGCUGGACAGAAGUUUGUCACAGGGUCAGAGCCCCUGAAGAAACUUGUCCACUAGAAUGUGUCAUGGAGCCCAGGAAGGCAGAGGACUUGGUGGCAUUGCAGGGCCGACUUUGUUAAGCCUCAAACAUUAACCUACUACCUGAGAGAGAACCCAUGCUUAGUUUAGACAAAAGGGAAUCUGGAAGGAUUAAAGUUACAUCAGCUACUUCUAAUUUCUGAUGAGUUAGUAUCUUGAAAUAAUGUACUCCAGAAGUAAAAUGACUUGCCUUUGAGUUACUAUACUAUGCAAAAAGAAUUUAAAAAUGUUCUUUAAAAGCUUAGAAGUCAUGUCAGGCUGUGGUGGCGCAGGCCUUUAAUCCCAGCACUUGGGAGGCAGAGACAGGUGGAUCUCUGUGAGUUCGAGGCCAGCCUGGUAUACUGAGCGAGAUCCAGGACAGGCUCCAAAGCUCCACAGAGAAGCCCUGUCUCAAACAAACAACAAGCUCAGAAAUCAGGAGCUGGUGAGUUCUCCUGUUCGGACGCAAGGCAUUGCUUAUGCUAGGCAAUCACUCUGCCUCUGAGUUACAUCUCUGAACUUUGAGAAGAUAUUCUUAUUGGCUCAGUCCCCUCUGAUAGGAGAAUAAAAGGCAAGUGGGAACAGGCGACAUUUCCCACUUCCGGCUCCAACAGUCUCAGCGAUGCUGUGCUUUUCCACCUUGGCUCUGCCAGUGGCAAGACGCAGGGUGAUGGCUGCUGGGCUUCCUGCAAAGCAGAUGCCAGAAGCAGUCUGAAUAAUCUUCCACUAACCCCUCAGAAGCUCUAGAUUUGUGGGUCUGGAUACCCGUGUUUCACUUUGCUUUUCCUAGGGCUAGGAGAGCGGCUGCUGUUUCUCAACAUUGCUAUCAAAUGUGAGCAUCAGUAAUUCAAAGUUACCUCUGAGGAACAGCAGCUUCCUCCUC
This is a long non-coding RNA of Peromyscus eremicus (cactus mouse), 1121 nucleotides long. RefSeq lists it as uncharacterized. Lineage: Eukaryota; Metazoa; Chordata; Mammalia; Rodentia; Cricetidae. The record is from RefSeq and is a predicted model, not a curated record. The transcript is spliced from 3 exons.